CCUACGGGAGGCAGCAGUGAGGAAUAUUGGUCAAUGGCCGUAAGGCUGAACCAGCCAAGUCGCGUGAAGGAAGAAGGAUCUAUGGUUUGUAAACUUCUUUUAUAGGGGAAUAAAGGUAUCCACGUGUGGAUAUUUGCAUGUACCCUAUGAAUAAGCAUCGGCUAACUCCGUGCCAGCAGCCGCGGUAAUACGGAGGAUGCGAGCGUUAUCCGGAUUUAUUGGGUUUAAAGGGUGCGUAGGUUGUUUUUUAAGUCAGCGGGGAAAGUUUGUGGGUCAACCAUAAAAUUGCCGUUGAAACUGGAAGACUUGAGUGUGUUUGAGGUAGGCGGAAUGCGUGGUGUAGCGGUGAAAUGCAUAGAUAUCACGCAGAACUCCGAUUGCGAAGGCAGCUUACUAAGCCAUAACUGACACUGAAGCACGAAAGCGUGGGGAUCAAACAGGAUUAGAUACCCCGGUAGUC
This 460-nucleotide ribosomal RNA is filed under the name uncultured bacterium. RNAcentral describes it as "partial 16S ribosomal RNA". It matches the Rfam family "Bacterial small subunit ribosomal RNA", at positions 338 to 795 of the family's 1533-position model. The record is from RNAcentral.